AGAAACCAACCGGGAUUGCCCCAGUAACGGCGAGUGAAGCGGCAACAGCUCAAAUUUGAAAUCUGGCCCGCUCGGGUCCGAGUUGUAAUUUGCAGAGGAUGCUUCUGGCAAGGCACCGCCCAAGUCCCCUGGAACGGGGCGCCGGAGAGGGUGAGAGCCCCGUACGGUCGGCUGCCGCGCCUCGGUGAAGCUCCUUCGACGAGUCGAGUAGUUUGGGAAUGCUGCUCUAAGCGGGAGGUAGACCCCUUCUAAAGCUAAAUACCGGCCAGAGACCGAUAGCGCACAAGUAGAGUGAUCGAAAGAUGAAAAGCACUUUGAAAAGAGGGUUAAACAGCACGUGAAAUUGUUGAGAGGGAAGCGCUUGCGAUCAGACGUGCGCCGGGGUGCUCCGUGGGCGUUCUCGCCCGCGUACUCGCCCCGGCGCAGGCCAGCGUCGGUUCGGAUGGGGGGAUAAAGACGCCUGGGACGUGGCUCCCCCGGGAGUGUUAUAGCCAGGCGUGCCAUGCCCCCGCCCGGACCGAGGUUCGCGUCCUGCAAGGACGCUGGCGUAAUGGUCCCCAGCGGCCCGUCUUGAAACACGGACCAAGGAGUCGAGGUUUUGCGCGAGUGUUUGGGUGGCAAACCCGCACGCGUAAUGAAAGUGAACGUUGGUGGGAGCUUCGGCGCACCACCGACCGAUCCUGAAGUUUACGGAUGGAUUUGAGUACGAGCGCAGGGCCUCGGACCCGAAAGAUGGUGAACUAUGCUUGGAUAGGGUGAAGCCAGAGGAAACUCUGGUGGAGGCUCGCAGCGGUUCUGACGUGCAAAUCGAUCGUCAAAUCUGAGCAUGGGGGCGAAAGACUAAUCGAA
Molecule: ribosomal RNA, 849 nt
Filed under: Sporoschisma palauense
Lineage: Eukaryota; Fungi; Ascomycota; Sordariomycetes; Chaetosphaeriales; Chaetosphaeriaceae
Description: eukaryotic LSU rRNA
Rfam family: Eukaryotic large subunit ribosomal RNA
Source: RNAcentral